CCUACGGGUGGCAGCAGUGGGGAAUAUUGGACAAUGGGGGCAACCCUGAUCCAGCCAUGCCGCGUGUGUGAAGAAGGCCCUCGGGUUGUAAAGCACUUUCAGUGAGGAAGAACGCCUGGUGGUUAAUACCCAUCAGGAAAGACAUCACUCACAGAAGAAGCACCGGCUAACUCCGUGCCAGCAGCCGCGGUAAUACGUAGGGUGCGAGCGUUAAUCGGAAUUACUGGGCGUAAAGCGCGCGUAGGUGGCUUGAUAAGCCGGUUGUGAAAGCCCCGGGCUCAACCUGGGAACGGCAUCCGGAACUGUCAAGCUAGAGUGCAGGAGAGGAAGGUAGAAUUCCCGGUGUAGCGGUGAAAUGCGUAGAGAUCGGGAGGAAUACCAGUGGCGAAGGCGGCCUUCUGGACUGAAACUGACACUGAGGUGCGAAAGCGUGGGUAGCAAACAGGAUUAGAUACCCCUGUAGUC
Molecule: ribosomal RNA, 465 nt
Filed under: Vreelandella stevensii
Lineage: Bacteria; Pseudomonadati; Pseudomonadota; Gammaproteobacteria; Oceanospirillales; Halomonadaceae
Description: partial 16S ribosomal RNA
Rfam family: Bacterial small subunit ribosomal RNA
Source: RNAcentral